RNAcentral lists this ribosomal RNA (2600 nucleotides) under metagenome. RNAcentral's name for it is "bacterial LSU rRNA". It matches the Rfam family "Bacterial large subunit ribosomal RNA", at positions 14 to 2537 of the family's 2925-position model. The record is from RNAcentral.
AGGGCGCAUGGUGAAUGCCUUGGCAUCAGGAGCCGAUGAAGGACGCGAUAAGCUGCGAUAAGCUUCGGGUAGGCGCAAAUAGCCUGUGAUCCGGAGAUUUCCUAAUGAGGAAACUCACAUGGGUAACCCCAUGUAUCCUUAAGUGAAUACAUAGCUUAAGGAGGGCAGACCCAGGGAACUGAAACAUCUAAGUACCUGGAGGAAGAGAAAGAAACAUCGAUUCCGUUAGUAGCGGCGAGCGAAAGCGGAAGAGCCCAAACCAGAAACUUGUUUCUGGGGUUGCGGACAGAUCAUAAAAGGCAAAGAUGGUUAACUGAAUAUUUCUGGAAAGUUAAGCCGUAGAGUGUAAUAGCCACGUAAGUGAAAGCUAUCAAUGCUAAGAUCUGAUCCAGAGUACCACGAGACACGUGAAACCUUGUGGGAAGCAGGGAGGACCACCUCCCAAGGCUAAAUACUACCUGAUGACCGAUAGUGAAGAAGUACCGUGAGGGAAAGGUGAAAAGAACCCCGGGAGGGGAGUGAAAUAGAACCUGAAACCGUGUGCCUACAACCGGUCAAAGCACUAUGUUUUAUACAGUGUGAUGACGUGCUUUUUGUAGAACGAUCCAGCGAGUUACGGUAUGCAGCGAGGUUAAGCACUUAAGGUGCGGAGCCGAAGGGAAACCGAGUCUGAAUAGGGCGUAGAGUUGCAUGCUGUAGACCCGAAACCGGGUGACCUAUCCAUGGACAGGGUGAAGCGGAAGUAAAAUUCCGUGGAGGCCCGAACCACGUUGGUGUUGAAAAACCAUGGGAUGAGCUGUGGAUAGCGGAGAAAUUCCAAUCGAACUCGGAGAUAGCUGGUUCUCCUCGAAAUAGCUUUAGGGCUAGCGUCGGACUAAUGAGUAAUGGAGGUAGAGCACUGAAUGGGCUAGGGGGCAUUGCGCUUACCGAACCCUAUCAAACUCCGAAUGCCAUAUACUUCUACUCCGGCAGUCAGACUGCGAAUGAUAAGAUCCGUAGUCAAGAGGGAAAAAGCCCAGAUCGUCAGCUAAGGUCCCUAAGUGUAAGUUAAGUGGAAAAGGAUGUGGGAUUUCUAAGACAACUAGGAUGUUGGCUUAGAAGCAGCCACUCAUUUAAAGAGUGCGUAAUAGCUCACUAGUCGAGAGAUCCUGCGCCGAAGAUGUCCGGGGCUCAAACUUACCACCGAAGCUACGAAUAGCAGAUAUCAGAUGUGAGAUAACAGAUAAGAGAAUUAAAAUUUCUCCUUCGGAGAAAUUAAAAAAAUCUGACACCUGUUACCUGACACCUGAUAUCUGCUGUGGUAGAGGAGCAUCCUGUACGGGCUGAAGUCAUACCGAAAGGAGUGGUGGACUGUACAGGAGAGAGAAUGCUGGAAUAAGUAGCGAGAAAAGAGUGAGAAUCUCUUUGGUCGAAAACCUAAGGUUUCCUGGGGAAGGCUCGUCCGCCCAGGGUUAGUCGGGACCUAAGCUCAGGCCGAAAGGCGUAGGCGAUGGACAAUCGGUUGAUAUUCCGAUACCACUACAACGCGUUAUUACCGAUGGGGUGACGCAGGAGGAUAAGAUGUGCUCACUAUUGGAUGUGGGUCUAAGUACUUAGGCAGAACAGAUAGGCAAAUCCGUCUGUUCAAUGCUGAGGUGCGAUGGGGAGCGAAAUUUUAGUAGCGAAGUAUCUGAUUCCACGCUGCCAAGAAAAGCCUCUAGGGAGUGAAGUAGUGCCCGUACCGCAAACCGACACAGGUAGGUGAGGAGAGAAUCCUAAGACCAGCGGAAGAAUUGCAGUUAAGGAACUAGGCAAAUUGACCCCGUAACUUCGGGAGAAGGGGUGCCUACGAGAGUAGGCCGCAGAGAAUAGGCCCAAGCAACUGUUUAGCAAAAACACAGGUCUCUGCUAAAGCGAAAGCUGAUGUAUAGGGGCUGACGCCUGCCCGGUGCUGGAAGGUUAAGGGGAUUGCUUAGCGCAAGCGAAGGCAUGAACUUAAGCCCCAGUAAACGGCGGCCGUAACUAUAACGGUCCUAAGGUAGCGAAAUUCCUUGUCGGGUAAGUUCCGACCCGCACGAAUGGCGUAAUGAUUUGGGCACUGUCUCAACUGCAAAUCCGGCGAAAUUGUAGUGCAAGUGAAGAUGCUUGCUACCCGCGAUUGGACGGAAAGACCCCGUAGAGCUUUACUGUAGCUUAGCAUUGAGUUUCGGUAUUAUCUGUACAGGAUAGGUGGGAGACUUGGAAGCAAGGGCGUCAGCCUUUGUGGAGUCACCCUUGGGAUACCACCCUGAUGAUACUGAGAUUCUAACCGGAGGCCAUGAAUCUGGUCACGGGACAUUGUUAGGCGGGCAGUUUGACUGGGGCGGUCGCCUCCUAAAAUGUAACGGAGGCGCUCAAAGGUUCCCUCAGAACGGUUGGAAAUCGUUCGAAGAGUGCAAAGGCAGAAGGGAGCCUAACUGCGACACCUACAAGUGGAGCAGGGACGAAAGUCGGACUUAGUGAUCCGGUGGUACCUCGUGGGAGGGCCAUCGCUCAACGGAUAAAAGCUACCUCGGGGAUAACAGGCUGAUCUCCCCCAAGAGUCCACAUCGACGGGGAGGUUUGGCACCUCGAUGUCGGCU